RNAcentral lists this ribosomal RNA (446 nucleotides) under uncultured bacterium. RNAcentral describes it as "bacterial SSU rRNA". It matches the Rfam family "Bacterial small subunit ribosomal RNA", at positions 331 to 792 of the family's 1533-position model. The record is from RNAcentral.
CCAGACUCCUACGGGAGGCAGCAGUGGGGAAUAUUGGGCAAUGGGCGCAAGCCUGACCCAGCAACGCCGCAUGAAGGAAGAAGGCUUUCGGGUUGUAAACUUCUUUUGUCAGGGACGAAGCAAGUGACGGUACUGACGAAUAAGCCACGGCUAACUACGUGCCAGCAGCCGCGGUAAUACGUAGGGGGCAAGCGUUAUCCGGAUUUACUGGGUGUAAAGGGCGUGUAGGCGGGACUGCAAGUCAGAUGUGAAAACCACGGGCUCAACCUGUGGCCUGCAUUUGAAACUGUAGUUCUUGAGUACUGGAGAGGCAGACGGAAUUCCUAGUGUAGCGGUGAGAUGCGUAGAUAUUAGGAGGAACACCAGUGGCGAAGGCGGUCUGCUGGACAGCAACUGACGCUGAGUCGCGAAAGCGUGGGGAGCACACAGGAUUAGAUACCCCAGUA